RNAcentral lists this ribosomal RNA (472 nucleotides) under uncultured bacterium. Its description in RNAcentral is "bacterial SSU rRNA". It matches the Rfam family "Bacterial small subunit ribosomal RNA", at positions 355 to 825 of the family's 1533-position model. The record is from RNAcentral.
UGGGGAAUUUUGGACAAUGGGGGCAACCCUGAUCCAGCCAUUCCGCGUGAGUGAAGAAGGCCUUCGGGUUGUAAAGCUCUUUCAGCAGGAACGAAACGGCAGGCUUUAAUACGGUCUGCUAAUGACGGUACCUGCAGAAGAAGCACCGGCUAACUACGUGCCAGCAGCCGCGGUAAUACGUAGGGUGCGAGCGUUAAUCGGAAUUACUGGGCGUAAAGCGUGCGCAGGCGGCGACAUAAGACAGAUGUGAAAUCCCCGGGCUCAACCUGGGAACUGCGUUUGUGACUGUGUUGCUAGAGUGUAGCAGAGGGGGGUGGAAUUCCACGUGUAGCAGUGAAAUGCGUAGAGAUGUGGAGGAACACCGAUGGCGAAGGCAGCCCCCUGGGUUAACACUGACGCUCAUGCACGAAAGCGUGGGGAGCAAACAGGAUUAGAUACCCCAGUAGUCCCUGAGCGGGCUGGCAAGGCGCAU